UACGUAGGUGGCAAGCGUUGUCCGGAUUUACUGGGCGUAGAGAGCGCGCAGGCGGUCGGAUAAGUCGAAUGUGAAAGCCCCCGGCUCAACUGGGGAGGGUCAUUCGAUACUGUUCGACUCGAAGGCAGGAGAGGGAAGUGGAAUUCCCGGUGUAGUGGUGAAAUGCGUAGAUAUCGGGAGGAACACCAGUGGCGAAGGCGACUUCCUGGCCUGUUCUUGACGCUGAGGCGCGAAAGCUAGGGGAGCAAACGGG
RNAcentral lists this ribosomal RNA (253 nucleotides) under uncultured bacterium. Its description in RNAcentral is "partial 16S ribosomal RNA". It matches the Rfam family "Bacterial small subunit ribosomal RNA", at positions 524 to 776 of the family's 1533-position model. The record is from RNAcentral.